This is a long non-coding RNA of Mus musculus (house mouse), 1039 nucleotides long. RefSeq annotates it as RIKEN cDNA 2210039B01 gene. The transcript is spliced from 4 exons. NCBI's taxonomy places the organism in Eukaryota, Metazoa, Chordata, Mammalia, Rodentia, Muridae. The record is from RefSeq and is marked predicted.
UUUCCCGGAUGGUGUAAAGGCAGCAGCACACUCGUUCACGGAUAGGGAAGCCAGAGCAGAAAGAGGUGGAGGUUUCAGAGCAUAAAACGGAAUGGUAUAAAUGAGCUCGCUUCUGGGGAACGUGGCCGUUCCGGACUGAGCUGCGGAGCUGACUCUCUUAAGCAACCAUGUGGCUCUCCUCCAUCUUGGCAAAUAACCUCAACAAGAGGAGACACCCGGAUGACAAUUCGUGUUACCACAACACCUUACCUAUCUCAGCUCCUCAAAUCUCUCGGCUCUGGUCUGCUAUUUCCUGUCCCAGCUCUCGAAUUCGGAAAACCUGGGGACUGAUGUAUACCUGUGUCCCUCGGAACCGGCUGCAUGACAGCGUUCUGGUCUCGGGCCUUUCUGUUGCGGCCGCCAGCAGCUCGCAACAUGAACGGUUCGACUGAGAAGGCCACUCGAGCUGUAAGAGAGGAAUCUAGACGGGGCGAAAGAAGAAACGGAGCUAAGACAAAUUCAUUCUGAUCAAAGCUCAAAUUUUAUUGUUGCGACACUAGUUAUAAAGGAAGGGGGAGGGAACCCGACUCCCGCCGAAUAAUCUCUGGUCCAGUAGAAAGGUGCACGUGUGUGGCUCCGCAGGUUCUAGCAGUGGGCGUGGCAGAACGAAUGAGCAGGAAGCUCCACCCCUGAGCAAGCAGGUUUCAGGCUGGGGGAGGGGAGACUACACCUUUCCUCAUUAUUAUACAUGUUAUCAUCAUGUACUAAGUACUAAAGGGUGCUUGGAUCAUGUGAACUCCUUAGUAACAGCCACAUGAAGAAAUGCAUUCAUUCUGCAUCCUUUGUUGUUACCCUUAACACUCAAAGGGAAAGAAAAAGAAACUUCACGUUUAAGUACUUCUAAAAUUACCUCACUCUGUCUUUCUAUUUUCUAGGUUUUAACCAAGUUAAAUAUUAGUUUUAAUUGGUUAUAAUCAGGAUUAAAAAUACAUUCUUACUCUACUUGCCAGAUCACUGCCUUUUAUAAUGAAAGGAAUGAAAUAAAUAUUUUUUUUAAUGU